AAAAAGGGCUUCCGUCCUGAGCGGCACACGCAGAGCAGCUUGGAUGCUCCACCUGUGGAAUCAGCAUCAAGAGAUUUCAGAAGCAUCAUUUUUGGUUCUUGGGCAGCUGGUGAUCAUUGGUCCUGGCACCCAC
Small nuclear RNA from Pipistrellus kuhlii (Kuhl's pipistrelle), 133 nucleotides. RefSeq annotates it as U11 spliceosomal RNA. The record is from RefSeq and is a predicted model, not a curated record. The transcript has a single exon. Lineage: Eukaryota; Metazoa; Chordata; Mammalia; Chiroptera; Vespertilionidae.